RNAcentral lists this long non-coding RNA (1506 nucleotides) under Citrus x clementina. Its description in RNAcentral is "Citrus clementina (C. clementina) long non-coding RNA (CCLE_LNC003813)". Lineage: Eukaryota; Viridiplantae; Streptophyta; Magnoliopsida; Sapindales; Rutaceae. The record is from RNAcentral.
UAUAUUAUUAUUUUAGUUUAGGAUUAAUUUGAUAAAUCAAUUAUUUAUAAAAUAAUUAUUAGUAAGAUUGUUGUAAGGAUAUCAAACAUUGCUUUAAGUUGGUUGAUAUUAAUCUAUUUAUAAAAAAAAAAAGGUAAGGAUAAGAAUAAAACAUAUGUAAUAGUAGGUUUUCUAAAGUAUUUUUUAGAAUAUAUGGACUAAAUAGUUUUUUAAGUUAAAAUAUAGGGACUAAAUAAGUAAUAACUUAUAUUUGACCCAUAUGUUAAAUGAGGGCCGAUAAAACAUCACAAAAUGGGUUUAAAAAGUGUACUUGAAAAUUUUGAAUAAAAAAAUAUUUAAAAAGCGAUAAAUAAAGAUAAUUUUGAAAAUAAUUGGAAUGAUUAAAAAAUAAGAGUUAAUGAGAUAAAAUGAAACCAAUUAAUUUGGAUCUGGUACUAUGUAAGCCAGGUUUGUGGAUCAUCAAUGACAAUUUAUAGUAAAUAAGUAGAAAUAGGUGGGGGUAAAGAUGGAUGAGAAUGAGGAGAGGAAGCGAGGGGCAAGAGGCAUGUGCACCGAUUUGGGGCAUAAUGGGUAAGAUGAUGCCAGGCACUCAGGCAGUGGCAGUUGGGGGUUCACAAAUCCGGGAGAAACGCCACGCACGUUCUUACCACCUCAUUUCAUGGGCCUCCUAACAGCUGUACCAAUCUGUUUCUGUCUGCCUCCACCUCCUUCCUUUCCUUUUCCAUAUUUGCCUUCUCUUUUCACAUUUAAAUCUCUUUUCAACACCCAUUAUUCCAUUUUUGCGGUGUGGCAUAUAUCUCUCGUAUUCUGUAUUCCUGUGUUGGGUUAUUUGUCUUUUAAUCAUCACCUCCCCGCCAGCCAACUUUUUUUUAUAAGUAUAGUAACUAAUUUUUUUUAAUAAGGGAUCCCUUAUUUUAUUUAAAAUAAAGAUUAUUUAAGAAAUAAAAAAUCACUUAUUUUAAUACAAAUUCCCUUAUCCAAGUCAUCACCAACAAUCAACUCUUAUCCCAUGGUGUCAAAGGGCGAGUUCCUUUCUUGUCUUGCCCAAGAACUUUUUUAUUCUCAUUAAUGAAAGACUCUCUUGUAGUAAGGAUUCACACACGCGCGCGCGCGCUCGCGUACACACACAUUCUUCUCUAGUGUAAAGAAAUUCUCAUUUUAUUAAAGUGAUGAUGUCACUAAAAUAUAAAAAAAAAAUCACAAAUUUUAAUACAUUGAUUUUUUUUUUGUUAGUGCAUUUGAAUCUAUAUUUUUCUUGAUAUGUUAAUGAGUUAUAAUAAGAAUGUCCUCCUUGUAUGUACAUAUUUAUAUAAUCAUUCUCACAUGCGGGCAUUUUUUUUUUUUAUGCAAAACAUUAUUAAGCCAUAUGAUUUUACAAAGUCAAUGCAAACAGGCUAUUAAAUUAUUUGUCUUUAUAGUGAAUUAAACGCUAACUCUAUUAAACCAUAUAUCUUAAUAGAGUAUCUGCAUGAAAAAAAAAAAGAGGAACUUUACUGAAUAUAAAAA